Molecule: ribosomal RNA, 497 nt
Filed under: uncultured bacterium
Lineage: Bacteria
Description: partial 16S ribosomal RNA
Rfam family: Bacterial small subunit ribosomal RNA
Source: RNAcentral
GAUGAACGCUGGCGGCGUGCCUAACACAUGCAAGUCGAGCGAACGGACCAGAAGUUUGCUUCUCUGAUGUUAGCGGCGGACGGGAGAGUAACAUGUGGAUACCCUCCCUAUCAGACUGGGAUAAUUUCGGGAAACCGGCUCUUAUACCGGAUAAUAUUUUGAACCGUAUUGUGCAAAAGUGAGAGUCGGUCUUGCUGUCACUUAUAGCUGGAUCUGGGCUGCAUUAGCUAGUUGGUAAGGUAACGGCUUACCAAGGCAACGAGGCAUAGCCGCCCUGAGAGGGUGAUCGGCCACACUGGAACUGAGACACGGUCCAGACUCCGACGGGGGGCAGCAGUAGGGAAUCUUCCGCAAGGGGGGAAAGCCGGACGGAGCAACGCCGCGUGAGUGAUGAAGGUCUUCGGAUCGUAAAACUCUGUUAUUAGGGAAGAACAUAUGUGUAAGUAACUGUGCACAUCUUGACGGUACCUAAUCAGAAAGCCACGGCUAACUACGUG